This 371-nucleotide long non-coding RNA is filed under the name Nicotiana benthamiana. Its description in RNAcentral is "long non-coding RNA (NBEN_LNC014230)". The record is from RNAcentral. Lineage: Eukaryota; Viridiplantae; Streptophyta; Magnoliopsida; Solanales; Solanaceae.
CCCUUAGAGGUUAUUUAAGCGUGUGAAUUGGUCACGAAUGCUUAUUGCGUGCUAUUACCCAUCCCGUCCUAUAGAUCCUAGAGGGAACUUAGGAUUGCUAUUCCUAUGAGGUAGGAACUAGGUAGAACCCUUUAAAGGUUAAAAUACUAGGCGACAUUCAAAAACAAAUAGGACUUGCAUGUAUGGGAAUCAUAUAGAUCAUAUAAAAGGCUCAAAUAACCCUAUAUAAGAGAAUGCGUAAGUAGCACGACUCAAACACAUGUAAGGUCUAAGGAAGAGAGAGUUUUAAAAGCUGGAGUGUUGACAAGUAUAUUUAAGAUAGCAGCAGAAAUAGUUUUAAAAAAAAAAACAGAAUUCGCAUAAAAGGUUGG